CGUAUCUUGAUUGGUAGUCGAGUUCCGAUAGUUCGAGAUUAGUAACGUGAUGAUGUGUGCGAGAUUAUUACCGGCGAAUUAGUUUUGUGCAUAAUUUGCAUAUUACAUCGUGGAUCACAUCGUAGGAAGAAAUACGGCUGUGCCUAAUUUAACAUUAGUAUAACACUAUGCGUCGUAUAAUCAGCUAUAUUAAAAGAAAGAGAGCAAGAAACGCUUUAUUAGAAUCUAAAGUAGAAGAAUAGAAAAAGGAAAGAGAAAUAAGGAAAGAGAAAUAUAAUUAACGUUAAAGCUCAGAAUUUACAAUGUGCCCGACAAAAUAUGUGGACUUUGAAGAUAUCAAAUAAAGUAAUUUUAUCAAAAAAGUGAUAGGAUGAAGUAAACAAUUUAUUUGUGACAGAAAGUAUUUGUAUUACAAGAUCUAACUUGUUCCGAGAAAUUUUUUGCAAAAGAUUUAUAAAAAACAAGCUAUUUGAGUGGUGUAUGCUGUUGUUGAUAGAUAAAAAGUUUACCGAGGUUCAUCCCCUUUUAAAUGCAGCAAACUAUCAUAUAAAGAAUUGACAGGGCAAUACACAUCAAAAGAAUUAUCUGAAGGUGUACUUUCUAGUUCUUCAAGUAUGUCACUAUCUUAUGACAGACCAGAUUAUUAAAACAGGUAAAAAGUGUGAAAUCUUGUUUGAAACAAUUACAACAAAUAUACAGACUAUAAUGUCACUCAACUGGCCUACCAAUGAUGUGGUCACAGGUUGUAAUAUCAGAGAUUUUAUAUGGAUGCCAAGGAUCAUGCAUUCUAUGUGAACUAGAUAUAUGGCACAGAAAUAUACCAAUAAAGCUCUUAGUCAAAUCGAAAACUAAAAAUUUUUGUCUUUUAACAGAUGGCGUGAAUUGUAGCAAAACACAUUCCAGCACAACUUUUUCAACACGUUUGAUCAUUUCAACAUUCGCAUGCGUGAUCGUUUCGCGACACAUAUGUAAUUCUCGCAGAAUUGAAUGAUGCUUCGUCACUUUUGCGAACCUAAUCUUGGCUAAUUUGUUAAUUUGCGAGAACUAAGACACUCAAAGGACCACACAUUGACGCACGGAUAACAAAAAAUAUAGUAGGCUACAUGGUCUUUUGCACUUGUGCGGAUGAAUACAUCUUGUGCACAAAAAACCAAUGUCUUAGUGCAAUGAUCUGAUUCAUAUUAAAAAAUCUUACAAUUUUUUAAAAAGUUAUAAAAUUACACAAAAGGUAUUCUAAGAAAAUCUGAAAUUAAAAUAUAAAACAAAUAUUGACUACGAGCAACAGUUUUACAUUUUAGACAUCCACUUUUAAUUUAGAGGACAAAGUAAAUUGAAAUUACAGAUAAUUUGCAAUGCGUUUAACAUUAUCUUAAAUAAAGUUUCUGUACACAAAUUUCCAGACUCUUAUUGGCAAUUUUCUUCUUAAUAUAUUAUUAAAAUAUAAAAAUUUUAAAAAAUUAUAUGAAGAAUCAUAAGAAAUUUUUUCUCCAGAGAUUACUCUAAGAGAACAGAUACAUUUCAAGUUGUAUGCACAUGUUAUAUGGACAAUGUGGACAGGAAUUUAUCAUUAUAUAAUGUCCACAUGAAUGUAACGUUGUGAUUUCAUUUCUAAAUCGAUAGAUUUAAAUGUUCCUUUUAACGUGAAUUCUACAUGGACAAUUUCAUAUCAAUUUUAAUUUAUGUAUGAUUAACGCGUAUGAAGCAUAUUAAUAUCAUUAAUAUAAUUUAACGAAGGUAAAAAUAGGAGACAGUAACGGGGAAUUCACGUGUAAGUAAAUUCAUAUUGAUUUUAUUCAAUGCAAUCCACAUAGUAAUAGUACUCAGGCCUGUCGACAGAUAAACAUAUAUAGUAGAACUAUAUUUCUCAUGUAUAUAAAAAUAUAAAAUAAAAUAAAAGGUUCAACAUUAUUUUAUGGCCUUUUGCUAUGGUAUUUUGCUCGUGUUUUAAAGAAAGGAUUCCUGAAAAUAAAUCUCCAAAAUUGAAUUCUCUCUUUAAGAUAUUUUAUAU
Molecule: long non-coding RNA, 2008 nt
Filed under: Monomorium pharaonis (pharaoh ant)
Lineage: Eukaryota; Metazoa; Arthropoda; Insecta; Hymenoptera; Formicidae
Description: uncharacterized LOC105837030, transcript variant X3
Source: RNAcentral